GAGUAUGACUGAGCCACUGAUGAAGAGCACUAUUCGGAGGAAUUGCUACUAAGUAUCCUUUGACAGGAGUUAUGCACAAAAGAAUACUAGGAAAAUUAAAAAACUGAGCUAAAUAGUUUUUGUUUAUUAAGCGUCCUAACACCUUGUAAUUAUACAUUAUAAGGGUCACUUUCACUAACUUAAGCUAAUUACGAUGGCAAAUUUAAUCUUUCCCCAUCCAGUCGAACCUUAAAUAUUUUGUGUUAAAAAACCCCAUGUUCUUAAUCUAAUCUAUUACCUUCCUUGAAAAUAAGGCACACUGUGUCACCUACUUAACGGUCUUCAGCGUAUUUUCCCAAUAUCUUCUUAGAUUUCCGAUGUCCCCUCUUAACUUAAUCCGGCUUUAAAGUUGCACCAUCUCUAUCACUCUCGACACUUUCAGUGCGGACCAGUUAAAAUUAGUGUAUUCUUUAAACGCUCCUAAAGAGCUCAGAAUCCUGUUGUAAAAGUAAAUAAAAUAGUUUAACAAUUCUUUUAAAACUCUAUUGCUCUCAGUAGUUAUUCAUUAAGCCCUUAUUCAAAUUCUUGGGUGGCCCCUUCAGCCAUACCGUUAGCUUGAUUGACUCUCUCUAACUACCAUCUCUGGAUCUAGCUUUUUAAAUGCCCGGUCCCAUACAAAUUUAAAAUACUUAACAAGUAUAAUUAAUACGUCUCGUGACUUUUUUGCGAUUUUUUGGGGCAUUUCGGAAACAUCCACAGUCAUAUGUAUUAUGGUUUCCCUUAUAAAUUUCUCUUAUAUGCAUCUACUCUCUAGGCUUAUUACUAA
This is a long non-coding RNA of Zophobas morio, 805 nucleotides long. RefSeq lists it as uncharacterized. The record is from RefSeq and is a predicted model, not a curated record. Lineage: Eukaryota; Metazoa; Arthropoda; Insecta; Coleoptera; Tenebrionidae. The transcript has 4 exons.